GGAGCUAUUGGCUUUGAAUUGUAUUGUGGAAAUGUAUUACCAACAGAGGUGCAGGUGCCAGCCUAUUGAAAUAAAGCGUCAAUGAGGGUGAGAAUCCUGUUUGUCAUGUGCAGCCCUUUGUGCACGGUGUAUAUUUGCUGAGUCACACUCCUUGGCAUUGGAAUGCAAAGUGGGUGGUAAGUUUCAUGUAAAGGUAAACAUGCAAUUGAGACUGAUAGCACACAAGUACCAUGAGGGAAAUAUGAAAAGGACUUUGAAAAGAGAAUUAAAUGAGUUUGUAUUUGCUGAACACAAAGUAAACAGACUUGAUUUGCUUGGUGGGAGUGUUGCACUUGCUUGACAAGAGCUUUGGGCUGUGGGUGUAAUGAUUCUUUCUUUGCAUGCCAGUUUCUAUUUGUACAUCUGAUUACCUUUGCACAUGAAUGAUAAGUCUCCUGUGGGGGGUGGAUUGCAUGUGCAUGUAAUGAUUUGUGUUUUGAUAAAUGUGUCUGGUGUAUGUGUGUGUUCCUGUGCUUGGGGAUGCUUCCUUCCUUGGACUUACAAGCCCUGACACACACAUGCUGGCAAAAUGCUUCUGCUUGACCCGUCUUGAAACACGGACCAAGGAGUCUAACAGAUGUGCAAAGUUUGAAGGUGGUAUACCUUUGUGUGCAAUGAAAGUGUCAGCUGGGAUAUGUGCACCAGCACCCAAUUAAUUAGCGGACAGAGGUUUGAGUUGGAGCAUAUCUAUUAGGACCCGAAAGAUGGUGAACUAUGCCUGAACAGAAUGAAUUCAGAGGAAACUCUGAUGGAGGUUCGUAUCGAUACUGACGUGCAAAUCGUUCGUCAUAUUUGGGUAUAGGGGCGAAAGACUAAUCGAACCAUCUAGUAGCUGGUUCCCUCCGAAGUUUCCCUCAGGAUAGCUGGAGUUGCUCAGUUUUAUCAGGUAAAGCGAAUGAUUAGAGGAAUUGGGGACAGGUUUGUCUUUGAC
This 970-nucleotide ribosomal RNA is filed under the name Alexandrium catenella. RNAcentral describes it as "partial large subunit ribosomal RNA". It matches the Rfam family "Eukaryotic large subunit ribosomal RNA", at positions 123 to 1051 of the family's 3401-position model. The record is from RNAcentral. Lineage: Eukaryota; Dinophyceae; Gonyaulacales; Pyrocystaceae.